UGAAAGGCGAAACGUAAUGUGAAUCGCAACUAACAGUGAAUCAUCGAAUCUUUGAACGCAAGCCGCACUUUUUUUGAUUAGAAAUAAUCGGAGAAAGUAUCUACGUAUGAGUGUCAGCUAAUAUCCAUUUGGUUUGUGAGGGAAAUUAGUUUUUAACUUUUUUUAACUUGCAAAUACUCUUGUCUUACUGACAUAUCACAAAAGAUAUUGUUUUGGUCUGGCCUCAUAUGUAGAAGAUUACCCGCUGGAUUUAA
This 254-nucleotide unclassified non-coding RNA is filed under the name uncultured fungus. RNAcentral describes it as "sequence contains ITS1". The stretch from base 1 to 116 matches the Rfam family "5.8S ribosomal RNA", at positions 49 to 154 of the family's 154-position model. The record is from RNAcentral. Lineage: Eukaryota; Fungi.